ACUUUGGCAUUUUGGCUGUGUGGCCCAAAGAACAAUCGACCAUUACAAAGCCUAUUCAUGAGGCAACCAGAGACCUUAUCACAAGGAUGACUGCCCGGCUGAUGCUACUCUUCUGUAUCAUCCUCGCGAGUACAUAAAACACACAAGAUCCACGUUACUAAAUGAUAAGUCAUGAGCUCUAAACAGUCUAAACUGUAACUUGAAAGAUCACGAAUGCAAAUGAAAACACCUAUCUACUUAAAAGGCUGGAUUAACUUGUUUGGUUUCAAUUUCCUAAGCCUAUCUCUAGCUAAAAACUAAAAAUGUCAAAAAACAGUAAAAAUCCAUCUAUAAUUAGAGGAUAGUCCAUCCAAAGGCAAGGACCACAGUACUGUUCUCAAAUUUACAAAACCAUUAGCAUUUUUAAAAACUAGAUUCACUACCUGAAUCACAACGGUUAAAUCAUACACACUGCGAUAAUGUGCAUGUAAUGACUCUGUCUCAAAGUGUACACCAGCGCGAUGUCGGUGCUUUGCGCUGAACAUGCACAUCUUUCUUUCCACAGCCAAGUAAAAGGUGACAGUUAGAAGGAGGGUUUAACAAGAGGUUUCCCGCCAGGGCUUUGUGAAAAGAGAGACCGUACAUUCUAUCAAGGUGACUAAAAGUCUACUCAGGCCCUCUGCAGUCAGCAUUAUUCAGCACUAUUCGCUCGAUAUCGGGAGCCUGCCAAUGCUUUUGCCCACCUGACCGGGUGUUCUCUCUAUUAUGCAAGCGAUGUGGUCUCCCCAAGGCCAGUGAUCGCCGGGCAUUCCUGUCUGUCUGUUCAGCACAGAGGCGUCCCCUGGCACGCUGGGAAAGUGAGCCAUUGCAAAGAAAGUGCAUCCUCCUCGGCGUCCCCGCCCAGGGCGCUGGGCCCCGCCGACCCACAGCGAGCAGCCCACACGGCUCCCCGAAACUAGGUCUGGGGCAGCGCCUCGGCGGCCUCCUGGAGAAGCAAGCCCCACUUUCUCCGAGCAGGAGGGGGAGGCGGAGAGCAUUUCCUGUUGUGCAGCUGAACUGAGCGGAGACGUCAUUGCAUUCAAAUUCCCUUGGGUGUCAGCGGACAGGGGCCAAAGUUCAGGCCCUUCCAGGGCGGGCCGAGCGCAGCAGCGGGCGAGGGCAGGGCGGUCAGGGCUCCGGGCUCCUGGAAGGAGUCCCAGCGCCUGGUGCCCGCACAGCCCGGCGGCGCAGGGACGCGGCUGAGCUGCGGGGGGAGCCCCUUUUCCUCCCAGAAUGAACCAAGUCCGGCGACUGCUGUGGGCUGGCCUCUCUGUCCCGUGUGCUUCCUUCCCAGGGUGAAGGUGAAGGCCUGUGUUUCCAGGUGUCUGGAGGAAGCACUUUCCUUGCGCAAGCUUCUUCGCCUAAUUUUUAACAAAACUGGCUCCCAAGAAAUGCAAGGAAAAAACCAUUGGGACGCUCUUCUUGCCUAGGUCAAUUUCCAUUACACACUGUAGGACGGCAGUGCUUCAAGAAGCCAGUUCUCUCUGAAAUCAGAGCCCAGCUUGAAGUUAACUGUAUGCCGCAGAGUCAGAUGAAGAUCAUGGCUCACUGAGUGAACAGGAAUGUGCAGGCACGAAGACAGAAGUGUAUUAUACAGACACACACACGCACACACGUGAAUGAAGAAGCCUUUUAUGAAAAACCCACCUACCUACAUGCUUCACAAUCUUGGGUUCCAGUAAGACCCUUCAGCAUUUUCAAGCUCCAUGAUUUUUUUUUCCUUAUAAACUGCCCCCAAAAUGACAAUCUUCUCUUUAUUAAAGGGCCCUUAGCACAAAUUACUAGUGUCUUGAUCCCUUCAAAGCUGGGUAACUAUACAAAGUACAGCACCUGUCCCCAAGACAGUCCCCAGACCUACAGGUGGUUCCAACACUGUCCAUUCCCUCCUCCAGACAAUAACAAGAAGAGGUAUCAUUACCUCAUACCUUUCAGGCUCUUGGUAAAAGCCAUUAUGUUCUUCAAAUGGAAAUAUAUAUGUAGUACUUCCUUUUGUCAGCCUCCAUCUAUAUUUAAUAUUUAAGAAUAGACCCUCAAUAAAGUCUAAAUAAUAGUAAAUGCUCAGAUGGCCUAUAAUCAACUGUUAUUGAAACAUCAGUGUUCCCACAUGCAUUACAGUGUAAUUAAAAAUUAAUGAACUGUAUGUUAUUUUAUUACAAUAAACUAUUUUCUAUUCUCUCCUAGUCCCUCACAAAGUUCUGUGUACUUCUCCAGAGACUAAAAGAAUGACUAAAUCUAAAAUAAGUUACUUUCCACAGUGGUUAAAGGUUCCAAAAUCAAAGUACUCACUGAGGAAAUGAUAUCUUUUGUUUUGGAAACAUACAGUAAUUAACAUUGUUAUUGUCUAAUGUAUUGACUGCUCCUGCAUAUAGAUACACUUGUACUAUGAAAUAUUUGUCCAUUUA
This is a long non-coding RNA of Myotis brandtii (Brandt's bat), 2420 nucleotides long. RefSeq lists it as uncharacterized. The transcript has 2 exons. The record is from RefSeq and is a predicted model, not a curated record. NCBI's taxonomy places the organism in Eukaryota, Metazoa, Chordata, Mammalia, Chiroptera, Vespertilionidae.